This 357-nucleotide ribosomal RNA is filed under the name Tubifex tubifex (sludge worm). RNAcentral's name for it is "partial 16S ribosomal RNA". It matches the Rfam family "Bacterial large subunit ribosomal RNA", at positions 1998 to 2592 of the family's 2925-position model. Lineage: Eukaryota; Metazoa; Annelida; Clitellata; Tubificida; Naididae. The record is from RNAcentral.
GGACAAACGAGAAUAUCCCUGUCUCCUUUAAGCCAGUAAAAAUUUAUCUUUAAGUGAAGAAGCUUAAAUAAUUAUGCAGGACAAGAAGACCCUAUAGAGCUUUACCUAAACAUUACAUUAUAAGUAAUUAAGGGUUCGGUUGGGGCGACCUGGGGACAUAAAUCACCCCUUAAAAUUUAGACAAACACGUCAUUAAAAAGAUCCUAAACUAAGAUCAACGAAUCAAGCUACCUUAGGGAUAACAGGCUAAUCCUCUUAGAGAGCCCUUAUCGACAAGAGGGGUUGGCACCUCGAUGUUGGCUUAGGACUUCUUUACGCCGCAGCAGGCGUAACCAGAUGGUUUGUUCAACCAUUAAA